GUAGAGAGCGGUAGAGGGAGAGAGAGGUGUAGGGAGGUAGAGAGCGGUAGAGAGAGGUAGAGGGAGAGAAGUGUAGGGAGGUAGAGAGCGGUAGAGGGAGAGAGAGGUGUAGGGAGGUAGAGAGCGGUAGAGUGAGAGAGAGGUGUAGGGAGGUAGCGAGAGGUGUAGGGAGGUAGAGAGCGGUAGAGGGAGAGAGAGGUGUAGGGAGGUAGAGAGCGGUAGAGGGAGAGAGAGGUGUAGGGAGGUAGCGAGAGGUGUAGGGAGGUAGAGAGCGGUAGAGGGAGAGAGAGGUGUAGGGAGUUAGCGAGAGGUGUAGGGAGGUAGAGAGCGGUAGAGGGAGAGAGGUGUAGGGAGGUAGAGAGCGGUAGAGAGAGAGAGAGAGGUGUAGGGAGGUAGCGAGAGGUAGAGUGAGAGAGAGGUGUAGGGAGGUAGAGAGCGGUAGAGGUAGCGAGAGGUGUAGGGAGGUAGAGAGCGGUAGAGGGAGAGAGAGGUGUAGGGAGGUAGAGAGCGGUAGAGAGAGAGAGAGGUGUAGGGAGGUAGAGAGCGGUAGAGUGAGAGAGAGGUGUAGGGAGGUAGAGAGCGGUAGAGGGAGAGAGAGGUGUAGGGAGGUAGAGAGCGGUAGAGGGAG
Molecule: long non-coding RNA, 628 nt
Filed under: Salmo salar (Atlantic salmon)
Lineage: Eukaryota; Metazoa; Chordata; Actinopteri; Salmoniformes; Salmonidae
Description: lncRNA (ENSSSAG00000095859.1, ENSSSAG00000119306.1)
Source: RNAcentral